Lagopus muta (rock ptarmigan) is the source of this 856-nucleotide long non-coding RNA. RefSeq lists it as uncharacterized. The transcript has 3 exons. Lineage: Eukaryota; Metazoa; Chordata; Aves; Galliformes; Phasianidae. The record is from RefSeq and is a predicted model, not a curated record.
CUUUUGUGGAGUUUUCCCUGUAAGCCUAGAUCUUCAGAGAUUGGUCCAACAUCUUGGCAGAUCUGAGAGUGUGGUGAUGUGGAUGAAAGCUAAAUGGUGAUGACCCUGGCAGUGCUGGCUGAGAUAAGAACACGUGGAUCAUCCUGUUCUUGAAGAAGUUUGUGUCACAUCUGUAAGCAGAGCAUCUCAACAGCCAAGCUAGAGGUCAUGCUUUUCAAACUGCCAAGAAUGUUCACAGUGAACGCCUGUGAAGUCUGCUGCAAGUGAUGUGCAAUGCUUUCUGCCCCACAGCAACUACUUGCAUUUAUGAAAUAGAGAGAGUUCUGAAGGUAAUUAAGUGAGAGAUGGACUAAAACAGCAAAAAUGUGCUGCUAUAGGGUGUCCUGGAGUCCAAGUUACUCUUCAGCAUUGCUUAAUGAGAGCCUGGGACAGAAAAUAACUUAGAGAAAGAAUCAGCCAAGGGGAUCUCUUGUUUCAGUUUGUUUAAACUGAAAAACAAAAUAUUGGUAGUUUUGUUUCUUGUGAAGCCUUUGUUCACCUGCAAGGUUCCACUUUCAAGUAUAAAGCAUAAAGGUGUUACAAUACCAAUUUGUUCAGUCUUAUUUCAGCAAUGUCCAAAUAGGGACAUCUUUUCUUGCUCCAGCAAUACCCGCUGAGAUUAAAUUAUCUUCAGUGUUAAUUCUUCCUCCUCUUUCCCUAUGCUUUUCAUAAACAACAAUAUUUUUUUGGAAUUGUCUUAAUUUCUUAUGAUUGUUGAAGAACAGCGGCAUCUCCUGUCUUUCUCUUGUACAGGUCUAGUAGCUAUUGCUAAUUUGAAUGUAUGUAUAUAUAAUGCAAUGGAAAGUACAGUAAUGAC